Molecule: ribosomal RNA, 118 nt
Filed under: Pteropus alecto (black flying fox)
Lineage: Eukaryota; Metazoa; Chordata; Mammalia; Chiroptera; Pteropodidae
Source: RNAcentral
AUCUACGGCCACGCGCCCUGAACGCGCCCGAUCCCGUCUGACCGCGGAGGCUGAGCAGGGUCGGGCCUGGUGAGUACUUGGAUGGGAGACCACCUAGGAAGACCAGGUGCUGUAGGCA